Molecule: ribosomal RNA, 545 nt
Filed under: uncultured soil archaeon
Lineage: Archaea
Description: bacterial SSU rRNA
Rfam family: Archaeal small subunit ribosomal RNA
Source: RNAcentral
ACGGGGCGCAGCAGGCGCGAAAACUGCACAAUGUGGGCAACCACGAUGCGGGAAACCCAAGUGCCAGCGCUAUGCGUUGGCUGUCCUCCAGUGUUCGUAACUGGGGAAGAAAGUGCUGGGUAAGACGGGUGCCAGCCGCCGCGGUAAUACCCGCAGCACAAGUGGUGGUCAUUAUUAUUGGGCCUAAAGCGUCCGUAGCUGGCUUGUUAGAUGCCUGGGUAAAUCGAUGCGCUCAACGUAUCGAACUCCGGGUAGACCGGCAAGCUUGGGACCGGGAGAGGCGUGAGCUACUCGAGGGGUAGGGGUAAAAUCCUGUAAUCCUUCGGGGAGGACCAGUGGCGAAGGCGUCACGCUAGAACGGCUCCGACAGUGAGGGACGAAGCCCUGGGGCGCAAACCGGAUUAGAUACCCGGGUAGUCCGGGGUGUAAACGCUGCAGACUUGGUGUCGCUGCUCCUACGAGGGUUGGCGGUGCCGUAGAGAAGUUGUUUAGUCUGCCGCCUGGGGAGUACGGUCGCAAGACUGAAACUCAAAGGAAUUGACGGA